Molecule: ribosomal RNA, 292 nt
Filed under: uncultured bacterium
Lineage: Bacteria
Description: partial 16S ribosomal RNA
Rfam family: Bacterial small subunit ribosomal RNA
Source: RNAcentral
GUGCCAGCCGCCGCGGUAAUACGGAGGGGGCUAGCGUUGUUCGGAAUUACUGGGCGUAAAGCGCGCGUAGGCGGAUCUGCAAGUCGGGGGUGAAAUCCCGAGGCUCAACCUCGGAACUGCCUUCGAUACUGCGGGUCUCGAGUCCGGGAGAGGUGAGUGGAAUUACUAGUGUAGAGGUGAAAUUCGUAGAUAUUAGGAGGAACACCAGUGGCGAAGGCGGCUCACUGGCCCGGUACUGACGCUGAGGCGCGAAAGCGUGGGGAGCAAACAGGAUUAGAAACCCCAGUAGUCC